GAGGAGGGGGGCUGCGGAGGGGGGGAGGAGGCAAAGUGGGUGCAUUACGAGCUGAUUGUGCUCUCGCCCCGACCUCCAACAGCCUGAUCCGCCUUUGAAGUUUUCCACCCCUCGACUUGAAGUGAGAUCGAUUACAGAAGAACAACAGGGACAAAGAAUCCGCUGCUUUACGUGCAGCCACUUUCCCACGAUCGGGGCAGCCAGCUCGCCAGCAGCGAGGGAUCACCGCUUUCCCUACGCUCCUCCUCGCCACCAUUCAGAAAAACUCGCAGCCCCCGCCCCGAGCCCUCCGCUUCGCCGGGGAGAGCUGUUGGCAAAAAAUAACCCGAGGUGUUUAGGGACGAAGGGGCUGGGGGGCGACUCGCACGGCCUCGGUCUUUAAAAUGCAACGGGAAGGAAUCGGUAUGGGGCGAGGGGGGGGGGGGCGGAGGGGGUGGUGUUUAAAGGGUGGAUAAAUAAAAAUUAAGCGGCACAGAUGGGUGAGAUGCGAGCAAGCACCUCCUCCCCGGGCUCCGCACACGGGCUGGGGGGGGGGACACGCUCCGCACCGCCCCGCACCGGGGCCUGGCAGCGCCUGCGGGCGGCACCAACGCCUUUACCUUGGGGUCUGGCCCCGGUUCUGCCCGUGGCCCCACCGCUGGGACAGCCCCGGGGCCGGGAGGGGACGGAGGGAGAUGAGGGAGGAGGUAAAAGGGCGAGCGGACAGGGCGAGAGCGCGGGGUGCCAUCCCAUCCCAUCCCAUCCCAUCCCAUCCCAUCCCAUCCCAUCCCAUCCCAUCCCACUCCACCCAUCGCAUCCUUUCCAGCCGUGCGGGAGGAAUGGGGGGGGAAGCACCUCUUCCCUUCCCGGCCCGCGCUGAAUGGGGAGAUUUGUUGCUGAAACUCGGUUUGAACCCAUGGCACGCCGGCUGGCUUCUCCGAGAAAAGCGCUUUAAUUUGUCACCGGGCUUCCGAGCCCAUUCAUAAAAAAAAAAAAAAAAAAAAAAAAAAAAAAAAAAAAGGGAAAAAGCGGCUCAGUGCCGGGCUGCAGGGACCCCCAAAGAAGGCGGCUGCGGAGGGGGAUUUCCUCCCCUCCCCUCUUUCCCUCCCUCCCCUCCCCUCCCCGCCGGCCCUGCCCCCUCGCCCGGCGGCGCGGCUCCUCCCCGGCAGACUGCGCGGCGUCGGGGCGGCGAGCGAAGGGGGCGAGCACCGGCAAUAGCCGCGGUCACAAAUUACUGCAGGAAGUGUUAGCCGCGCACCGGCUCCUAAACAAGAUCGAUUACUUUCCACCGCCGCAGCCCCAGAAAGGGCGGCCGGGACCGGGGAGGGGAGGGAAGGGAAGGGAAGGGAAGGGAAGGGAAGGGAAGGGAAGGGAAGGGAAGGGAAGGGAAGGGAAGGACAGGGCUGGGGGCGGCACGGCCGGUGAGUAAGCCCCCGCGGGGGCGGUCCCGGCUGCGGCAGGAAGCCCUGACUCAGGCUCCGGGCUCCUGGCAUCCGACGGGGCCCCGGUGUGAGAGGCACCCACCCGAGCAGCGGCAGUGGGUCGAGAAAGCUGUGAUCUCAAGGGAGAUCGCACUCCCCUGCUCCACGAGUGUUAUCCUCCUUCUCAGAGCGCUUUUAGGGUUUGUUGCUUUGUUGAUGGUUUCAACACUGGGAAUGUUAAGGCAGGUUUAAUUUAAUGACUCCGCGUGUUGGUAAAAAAAAACAGUAUUUCCGACCUUGCAGUUAAUUAGGCUAGCAAGGUAAAUAAGAAUCCUGUGUUAAAUGCGUCUAUUUGUAUAAGGAUAAUUAUAUAUCUGCUGUACAUGCAUACACUUGCAUGUCUGGGUAUAGGUUAGAGCAGGUAACCAAGCCACACACAAAAUGCAUGCUGAUAGCUCGGUUUAGGUGAUGCAUUCACCCUAAAGUGAUUUAACUGCAAGUAAGUUGUCAUAUACAACAUUGUAUUAAAUGCCCGUAUUACCAAAGAUAGAAAUACCAUAAUUUAAAAUAACCAAGUUUAAAGUUCAAUCAUAUAUUUUAGAGCAUCCGUAGAGGCUCCUCGUUCUCUUCAAGACAAGACUCCAAAUUUGCCCUUAGUGCUGUUGUGCUGCAGAGGUGCGAGGUGCAACUGUACCACAGGCACCUGCAAACCACUUCAGGGACAGGUUUUAAAUGAGCAGCACAGGUGCUGCUGGUGGUGGUAUCACAGCAGCUCAUUGCUCAGCACAGAUUACCACCCAAGGCAAGCCUUUAGCCAGCCUGAAGCAGGUUUUUACCACCCCAACUGAGCUGCUUGCUGCUGUGAGCCCCCCUGCUAGGGGAGCUUAUGCUUGCUACCUUGCUUAAGUAGCUCAGAUAUCUACGAAAGCUGUGUUCAUGAUGUAACUGUGUAUUGUCUUCACUAUCAACUCCUUUCACACAUUAUUCCUCUUCUCUGCAGCUAGUACAGCUGUUUCACAUGGCCAGCUUUCCUAUUGCCUCCUCUUCACCUCUUCUGCAACUAUUCUUCAAAAUCACAUACACACAUAUGCACAAAAAAAAAAAAGCAAAAAAAAGCAAAAAAAAAGCUUAGCAUAUUUUCUCAUUUUAAAUCUGCUGAAAUCUGCAGUCAUUUCAAAUCUGCAGGAAAACAAAACAAAACAAAAUCUUCAGCCAAAUUGAGACACCUAUUACAUUUCACAUCAUUAACUGACAUCCCUGACCUCUGUAGUUAGUUUCCACACACAGAGAUAAAUAUAUACACAGUGAUUCAUACAGUAAUAAGGAAAAACAAAGCUGGUGAAGUCUAUUAAAAAAAAGUGAUAUUAAAGGUAUUCAAUAUAUAGAACAUUACUUCAAAUCCUGAACUUGCUGUCACCGCAGCAACAUUAGUCUACAUCCUUAAUGUAUGUCCCUUAACAUACAUCCGUACUCAAUGUACCUUGUAAUUACCUCAUUAUGGUUAACUACUGCUGACCCCUGUGUGGAACAUGUUAACAUACAGAACAACUGUGAAAUACCUAGGGAAAAGCAAGGGGAGAUUUUUCAGAAUUAACUUACAACUCCAUUUACAGGGUUUGUGCCACAGACUUACCAUUGUCAUAGACUUUUCCUCCACAUUUAUUUCACUACCAUUCCAUAAAUGCUUCUUUAAUCAGCAAAACAAAGAGACAGGUCUAACAAAUGUCAGGUGAAGCAAGUCACAAGAACUUAUUAUUAAACAAGGACCAGGUGGUGAUCAGGCUUGGUAUCUACUUUUCAAAAUUAGGUCCCUGGCAUAAUAUGUCAGAACUCUGUUUACGUGCUUAACAUGAGUUCCUCACAGCACAACUAUAAGAAGCAAUUAGCAAAGUGUGCUCUACCACAGAGAAACCAUUCAUUGCUUUUCUCCCACUCCCACCCACCCCAAAUCCCAGGGCAGUGCUGCUGUGUACAGUCCCACGACCGUGGGGAGGGAUAACCUGCUUCUGUCACAGCGUUUCUGUCCUGCAGCCAACUCCAAACCCAUAGCGUUGACAGAGAGGGAUGGCACUCCACCCCCAGGAACUGCUCCAGCCCCUACACAGAAGCAUUAUUGCAUGCUGCUCUCAUGUAUAAAUAUGGGAUAAUUCCCAUGCACAAAACCUCUCCAUCCCUGCAGCCCCCCAAAUUGACUGCCCACCUAUCCCUCCUCCAAACACAAUUUAGCCUUGCUGCAUUAAUUAAUGGAGCGGCUAACUCGGCUAGUACUAUUCCUUUAGCUCUUGGUAUAUGCCUCCCGUUAGGGCACCCCUCUCGUGAAGUGGUGAGCAGGGGAAUCAGGCAGCCAGGAGCGAAGCCCUCGGGCACUUGGUGCCGUGGGGGGAUGUAGCUGCAGCAUCCCUGGGUGACUGCUUCCCCGGGAGGCUGGUGGGAGAGAGAAAAAAAACAGCCAGGGGAGCUCUUCCUACAGGCACAGCUUAACCCUCCAAAACCUUCUGAGGGUCUGAAAUCCUGAAGCCCGUAAGGAAAACCAUUAGAGUUGGCAACCCUGCUAAUGGUUCUCAGUUGCUCAGCUUUCACUCUCUUGGCUCUUGUAAUGUCAUUGUUUCUCCUUGCUCCCCGGUUGCCUCGGAGAUUUCCGAGCCAGACAACACCUGAAUUUCUAACGCUAAAAGAAAAAUAUCAUUUCAGGGUUUCUUUACGCGUCAUAAAGAAGCACCAAAGGCCACGGGCUGCUCAGACAAGCUGCAGCGUGGGGCUCUGGCCCUAAUGAGCAGCAGCCUGCCCAUGGGGAGGCUGCCCUGGUCGUGUGCUAGCUCCUGCCCUCCUCCAACACCACCACAAGCUGGGUGCAAGCUGGGCUGCUGCCCUCGCCAGCAUCUGGGGCAAGACAGAGGCCAAGGAACAGCCCAAACCCUGCCAGGGAGCCUGGGCCUGGACAUGGAGCUGGCCUGGGAAGCUGGGCUGGGCUGAGCUGGCAUCAUCACCAGCAAUUUCUACAUGAGGGAAAAGCCUUGAGAUCUCAGCAGAUAACACAUGAUUUCUGCCAUGGGUUUCUUUUUCACAAGGUUUCUUUUCCAGAGGGUAUCACUGUUACUUCGCUCGCUAUAAAUCUGUGGAGGUUGGUAGGGCUCUGGUGGUCAUGCAUACAUUCUGCACCCAGGGAGGAGGUGUUGAAAUGGAAAGGCAGACUUACAGACAAGGCUUUAAAUGACCACACUUCAAAAUUUUCAGUCUCGCAACUUUACUGGAGUCCAGCUCCUGAUGUUUUCAUCUGUUGUGGGGGGGAAGCUAGUGACCCUCAGCAUAAUGUUUGAAAUAAACAAUCAGAUAUCUCCAGCAGCAGUUCCCAAUCUAGAAUUCAUGGCCAGAAGUGGGGUCAUAGAAGUUACAAGUGGGGUCACGAGCUUGGCAGAAAUUAAAUUGUUUACAGUAGCAUCUGGGGUUGUAAGCCCAACAGAAGUGGAGACGUAAUGUUUAGUAUUUGCCCAUCUCCAGUAUCUGAAACCUCAGCUCCUGGAUCCCAGUGAUUUUCUGUUUAUAUGCAGAGAUCAGGAAGCACACUAUCCCUUUCUGAACUAUAGAAAAAAAGCAUGAAAAGGUGAGAGAAAUGUGUCCUAAAAACUUGAAAGAAAUCACCCAGGGUGGGAAGGUUGUGUUGUUUACUUUUUUUUUUUUUAUAAUUAAUUUUCAAUGAAUUGGUGUUUCUUAUGAUGUUCAGUUCCUAAGACAACCAGUGCUAAGUGGAAGGUGUUUCCAGUUAUGUGAGUGUGGGAGGUCUCCUCCUAGGACAGACACCACCUUACACUUUGUAACCUGCACAACUUUGGUGCCUCUAGUACUUUGCUCUGCCCUCUUUCGAUAUAAUAGCACAAAUGUUCUAGGGUGAUAAUAUACCUAGUUUUGUUACUAUCAGUCAUUUAAUAUGGAGACAAAACUCCAGUGUAUUGUAGUCUCAAAGGUGAUGCAGUACAUAUUUAUUGAAGUACAUUGCUAAAUCACAAUGAAAAUCAAAUGAACUUGUCUUUGUUUUUCCAUGCCAAAAGCAAGGACACACAUUUUUGUAUCUAAAAAAGAGGUGGUAUUUUAAAGAAGGAAGUUAGAGAAUCAGUGACACUGGGAAUUGUCUCAUCUUAUGCCAUUUGUGUCUUUAUCACAUUGAACCCUUUUGUUUCCUCAUGUGUCAAGAGGGAAUAACUUCUGCUCUACCUGAAGGCAACACUGAAAAAUAAUUAACAUUUGCUAGCAGUUUCAUAAUCCCAUGUGGGAUGUGGAAUAUCAAGAAAGUACAAUAUAUUGAUGGUCUCAGAAAGUACGGAUGCACAAAACAAUCCUGUUAUUCUGCUACUAACCAUUUUUGGUUAGAACUUUUGUUAAUAAAACAUUUCCUCUGCAUCAACUUACUGGGUUUGGGUAGUAGGUUUUUUAAAACUCUCUCUCAAGGGAUAUGGUACAUCUAGUUUUGCCCCAGAAUAAAUGUUUAUGGGUGAAUUAUGAAAUCCCUGAAAACAGAACUUUUUAAUGGAAAUGAUGAGGCAGUAUGAGCUAUCAUAACAUUUCCAUAUAUGUAACAUUUUGUGAUGCGUGUCUAUGUGGGUAUUUCCUUAGUGUCCGGAAUGACUAGCUAUUAUGCCCAAAAUAUCCUUUGUACUUCACUCAUUUUUUUCUUGACAGUCACAGAGUCUUCACAGUCAAAGUUUCCUAGCCAGUCAUGCAGUCAAGAACAGAUCAGCUGUGUUCACACUGCCAGAGACAGCUUGUACCAGAGGCUCCUCAGUGUAGUUCCUUCUCACCACAUCCUAAGAACAGCUUCCUAAAGAGGGCCUUAGGUCUGAGCUUUUAAUACACCCUGACUGUCAAGUAAUAAGCAAAUGGAAUGGUGUGAAUUAAUUAUCUCUUUCAUUUAAAUGUACAUUUUAAUUAAGUUUAUUGGUGGGAGAAUUGACAUCUUGAAAAGUUCUUUACAUUUAAGAGAUGUUAAAAUAACAAAAUCACUGAAGCUUAAAGAACAUCAAGUAGGAAUGGCAUUUGUUUGCCUUAACUGACUGGGAGAUGGAAAAGCCUUAUCCAGUUGACUUUUAAAAGGCCUAAAAAUCCAAAGAAAUUAAAGUAAUUAGAGAACUUAACUCAUUUGAAAUAUAUUUUUUUUAAGCACUGAAUCUGUAAUUAAAACCAAAAUAAAAGUGGUAGCUGUAAUUAAAAGUGUAUUCCCCAGAGCGCAUUACCAUGUUCUAUACCUAAAAGAAGAAAACCUUUAGAGGACAGUUAGUGGAAGGCAUAGCUUAUUAUUUUUGAGGGUGGAAGGAGACUGAUCUUUAUUUUUUUUUUCUGUUUCAGUUUUAAAUAGAACCCUGUAAAUAUUUUUCACACCUAUAGCUAAACUGGCAACAUGGAGGUAUUUGCUAGCUUUGCAAAGGAUCAAAAAGACUGACUUCUCAACUGGCACGGCUUCAUCGUUAGCAAAAACAAAACAAAAGCCAAAAAAAAAAAAAAAAAAAAAAAAAAAAGGCUGUUACAUGUAUUUCACCAGCUUGGGUUUGGUAAGUGCCUGUUGUGUAUCACAGCAGAGAGAGGGAAAAGGUCAAAGUUUAAAUUCAGCACGCUGCCUUGCAGGGUCCCUGCACACGGGGCUCAAUUCCUCCACCCCUGGCAUGCCCCAUACCCCCUGGCACUGCGCUUCGUGCCCACCACAGCCUGGCAAGGGGCAGAGUGGGUCCGGCCCAGGUUCGGCAGCGCUCGGUGCCAUGGUGGGAAUUGGCCAGAGGAAAAAUGUGGUGCUGGGGGAUGGGGUUGGUGGAGGCAGUUCCAACAAAAUUGGAGGGAAAUGGCUUCUUUCAAAUUAAAAGUUGAGUGUCUUAAGCUACAAUAAAUAAAAUUCACUUUCUCUGGUUAUAGUGAGAAAAAACACCAACGCAAUGGGUAGCAGAGGAGCUGCAGAAUUAAAGAUUGCACUUUUAAAAGACGAGAAGGAAAAAAACAAAGGGCAGACCAAAAACAAAACAAAACAAAACAAAAAACACAAGAUUCCCUUCUUUCAAAAGGUGGUGGCAGACACGAGCGCAGCAUCUUUCCUCCAUGUGCUUUGUAUUUUGCUCCCAGGAUUUGGGUUUCCUGAGUUUCUCGUUUGGAGCCACUGGGGGCUGGGGAGGGGGCCAGGAGGGGAGGUGGCAGGGCCCUGGGCUGCGGCAACACUUCCCCGCACUGACAUCUGUGGAAGGGAGAGGAGUCCUGGCCACACAGGCCAGAGAUAAAUCAAAGCAGCUGCCCCUCAGGAGGUCCCUGCCAUGGGGCAGAGAGCCAUGUCCUGGUCCCCGUCCGCACUUAGGUAUUUUGGAUUGAGUGCAGAGCGGAUAAUGGAUGAAAGGGCUGGCCCUGCUUGGUAAGCCAGGACCCUGCCCACCCAGUGGUGAGGAAGCCAAAGUCCAUCCCUGAUGGCUCCUGGUCUUGACCAGGCUGGAGGUUUGGCAGCAGGAGUUGGGCACAGGCCCCUUCUCAGAAAGGAAAGGGCUGAACCUCAGCCUGGGCAAACACUCUAUAACCUCUGCCACAUUAGCCAUCACAGCGCAGUGUAUUGGCACCACGACUUAGGAACUGGCUUCCGAGAGAGAAGCUCUGAGGGCCUGGAAGCCCUGUUUGUGUUUCAGGAGAGGGCACGGUAGUGAUGGGCCUCCAGAGGCACUGCUCUGUGUGUCCUGGCCAUGAGGAGCUCCUGCUGGGUCCCCAAGGAGCCACCUCCUUCCUCUGAGCACAUUUGGGUGCCAGAGUCAGGAUGUGCUUGCAUUGCUCUCUGGAGUCAAGGGCUUACAAAUGAAACACUGAAUCAUGUGACUUUCAGGUGCCUUUUUUUUUUUUUUUUCUUUUUUGGAUCUGGACCCAUGUAUGCAAUUUUGAGAAGGCUUUUGAAGUGGGCUCACUCCUAGGUUUUAAUCAACAUAUUUUUAAACAAACCUUUGUACUUUGUAUCCAUGGUAAAAAAUGAUUAAAAUCAUGCUAGUUAGUUGUGGUUAUGCAUAGGGCUGACCAUGAUUACCUAAAUUGAACAUGACCUAAGGCUGCUAGAAGUUGCCCCUGCAACUAAAACUUUAGCUUCUCAUUUAAUCAGUUGCUGUUUAUUUUGCUGAUAAUGAUGUCUUGGUAUCAGCAGAAAGAGCAUAGCUCUUGUUUCUAUUUUUGUAAGACAAAUCUCUGCUUCAGAGGAGCUACAGGUCAGCAAAGUAGCUGGCCUGCAACCCCCUGACAGCACAAUUUCUUCUGUGUCCAGUAUUGUUUAAGCACAGAAAUUAAAUUGGUUGGGUUAGUGAAUAGGGUGCGUGGGAGGGCUGUGGGGAUUUGUGUUUGUGGUACCAUGCAGCUGGAGACAGGGCUGUGGACAUAGGGUUAGAGUCAAGCAGGCACGGGCUCUUCUCCCCAAUCCCAGCUGGAGUUGGGACCUCAGGCCCAUUUCCUUCUCCCUGGAGCCAGUUCUGCCAGUGUAGACAUCUUUAAAUCACACUGCAGUUGUUAUUAUAUGUGAUUACAGAUUAAUUAAAUUACGUUUUCAUUACAUGUCAUCAAAGUGUUGUGUGAGAAGAGGCAGUGGACGUGUAUUUGGCACCCUUAACAUAGUCAUGAGGUAGGUUUCUGAUCUGUAAUGGCUGAGGUGGCUCUUUCACUAGCAGCAGUAGCAGAUCUGAUAUUACUUAGCUUUUGCCAAAGAAAGCCUUGUUACAGAUCAAUUUGUGCAUGUCCACACGCAGCAGUGGCAAUGGCUAGCCAUGGCAAUGGCUAGCUCCCCUCAUCAGCAGGGCCUGCUCUUCAAGGGGGAAACCAAAAGGCCAGCGAUCCGAAUCGCUGCCAUUCCCUUUGCUAGAGACAGAAAGGGAGAAGGAGAUGGGGGCCCUGGUAGGCCUCCGUUACAAACCUGCAAAACUUGUGCAGUGGACACCUCUUACUUGUUUCUUUUAGGAUUUUAAAGUCAAAUUCAAUGAGUUUAAUCUAGGCCUGAGAUUAAAGGAAUGGAAACCCCAGACUUUCAGUACUGUGUGUGUGUGUCCAAGGACCCAAGAUCACUUGCUUUUUCUUGUUUUCAAAUAAAGGUGGGUGCUGCCGUCCCCACCCUGGACAAGCAAGCAGCUGAGGUGCAGGAAGAGGCUUUGGCCUCCCUAAGUCUCCACAUGGCCAUGACAGCACCUGAGAGCAGGGCUCCAGCCCUCCUGUAUCCCAACCUGAAACACCCCUUUCUCUUUUUCCAGUGGGGUAAUUCCAAUCCAGGUAACUUGGACACGUUAAUUCACAGCCCAGCCUGUGCCCUGGAAGGUAGGGGUAAGUUUCCUAUCCCAGGAACCAGAGUAUUGAGUCAUUACCCUCCCCCAAAUUGUGCUGUUUUUAUUCAGACUAUCUUUUAUUUUUAACUGUUCUGCAGUCUUCUGGUGUGACGUAUGGCAAAUUCUUUACACGUUUCCUGCUCCAUUUUUCCUUAUCUACCAAGUGAGGAUAACACUCACCUCAGAGGAUUGGAGAGAUGUUGGCAGGGUGCUCUGAGAUGCGUGGCUGGCAAGUCCCACGCGAGCCCAAAGCAUAUUUAAAAUUGAAGAAAUGUUUGAUUCUGUCUAUCCAGCUGUCUGCUGUGGCUUCACUGACUCAAUAAAAAAAAAACACAAACCAAACCAAAACAAAAAAACCUGUUGUUACAGAAGCUUUAAAAGCUGCUGCCUGUGGCCCUUGCUUUUCUCAUUGCUCUCCCUUCCUUGCACAGCUCACAGUUACACAUUUUCCUUAGGCAGCUUUCCUCCAGCAAAACACAGCUUUCUCUUCCACUUCUCUACACAUGAAGAAAGAGUGCCUUUCAUUUGCUUGCACAUGAGUUUUUUGCGUUUUGUUUUUAUAGCUUUAAUGUAACAGUUUUAAAUUGAAUAGAUGGCUUUUAUCGAGUCACUACUCCAUUUUUGUAUUUUACUACAAUCCUGCAGUGCUUACAAAAGACAUUUGAAGUGCAAUAAAAAUCCAGAACAUGAUUCAACAGUUUCAUUCACCUCCCUAAAAAAUGAUGGACUACAACAUUCAUGGUAUUUUCCACAAUGUUUGUUAGUACUAUACAUAUAACAUAUAUGUGUAUUUUCUAGGUUAAAAUAAAAUUCACAAAGUUUACAGAGCAUAAGCUUCCCUUGGAUUUUUGUGAAGGCACUUUCCAGCCAAGCUCAAUCUAUUCGUAAUUACUCAACACUACAGAAUCUCUCCUUGGGCAGGAGAUUAGAUAAUAAAGUGUCAGCGACAAGCACCAAUCUCUAGAAUGGCCAGAGCAACAGCACCUAAGAUAUCCAUAAGAGCAGAAAUUCUACUUGAAAGAAUAUACUGGUGUUUCUAUUUACUAACUUAUCAGCUUUUCUUAAAUUAACUAUGACUGAAGUAUGCUCUGCCCUUUUCCUCAAUUAACUUUUCAUUCAUUCACAAAUUCGCUGGGCCUCACCCUGGAAUGAGACCCUUCAUUCUUCAAAGAGCCUGGGUGACCUGCUACAGUUUUCAACUAAUCAGAGAAACAAAAAAAGGCUGAGAUUAAACCCCAAGGAAGCCAGGCUAUCUUGGAAUUCACUUGCAAGAAUAAACAUUGUCACUUACAACAAGCAGAUCUGCAGAUAUUUAACAAACCCCAGGGUGCUCUAUACAGUGAAGAUUUCCACAUUUGAUUGCCAUCUUAUCCACCAGAGUAGUUUUCUUAGUUCUUUAUCUAAUCGAGAAGUUAGCUGGUGUGUAAGACAAAAGAAACUUUCAGCACACUUGUAGAGGUUUAGACAACCCUCUAUGUCCCUGUCCUUUGCAGGCAGUCAGUUUAAAGGAUAUUGUGGUUCAUAAAAAUAAUUUUAAAAUUGCAAUAGAAACAAGAAUACAAAAUUGGAAAUCAUACACUCUGUGUGUGAUAGGUCAAUUUACACAUCACCUAUAUUUUUGUGAAAAAAAAAAAGAAACACACCUAAAUUUGAUUGUGGUUAAUGCCACCAUUUCUGAACAAGCCUUGUAGUAACUUAGCAUUAAUUAUCCUUUUACAGAAAAUGUUGCUUCAGAUGCCUUUUCUCUGGCAAAUUGGGAGGGGGGGAGGGUUGUGUGCUGUCUGAAUGCUUGAAGCUAAAUUGCUAUCAGCGUUACAGCUAUCCUUAGAAAAUAAAAGUUUCGAGUCAGAAAACUGCUAAGAUUUAAGAGAAAAAUUACUUGAUCUGCCGGGAUGUCCUGGUGCUGUUGAUUAUGUUUUUCAUUUUAUGCAGGAGAAUGGUUGGUUUGAUUUAGAUGUUACCGAGCUGCCUGGAAAAUGCCUGUCAAAAACAGUCUGUCGAAGAAACAUCACAAAAGAGUAAAAUUAUCAGCAAACAAUAUUUAGCAAAGUAAACCUUCUAAUGUAAUGUGUCAUGCUGUAUGUCUGCGAAAGCCGUACCUGACAUGUUAUCCGCAGAGAUGCAAGGUAUGGAUGGUAAAUAUCUUCUCAUAACGAUUGUGUUCAUGCAAGGAAGGAGAUAAAGCAAGGGAACAGGAAACUUGAAACGAAAUGUGCUAACCAUGCACGACAUAUGUCAUGAAGAAUGAAAAGAGGUCAAAAGGAGUGGACAGAUCAAUGGGUUUCAUGUCAGAACCAUCACAGCACACCUAAACUGUAUGCAUCUCCAGCAAUUACUUUGACCCUCUUUCAUGGUAAGACAUUUCCCCCUUAUUGCUUUUACCGUAUUCUAGAGAAGCAGUGGAAAAAUAAUUCUUUGGUAAACUGAAAGACAGAGCUGGAGAAAAUGGACAAGCAUCUUACACAGAGAGUUUUGUGUGCCCCAACAUUUGUUUGGGAUCUUCAGAUACAAAAAAAAAUCGACGGUCUGAGGAAAAAUGAGUGCCUGCAUGCAGUAGCUUAUGUUUUUAGGCUGUGUCUCAUUAGGACAAAAAAUGUAUCUGUCUAUCUGUCUGGCUGCCUACCUACAUAUAAUACUGUUGUAGCAGUGGAUGGGAAUAUAAGCAAGAUGAGGUUUGUAGGGCGAGAUGGUGUCUCCCCUUCUUCUCCCCCCCUUUUUUUUCUUUAAGAUCAGUACAGCUAAAAAAAGAAAUGAUCACUCCUUUGUGUCAGAUGGCUGCUGAGAGUGGAUUUAGCCCUCCUAGCAGCCCCUGCCUGCAGUGGGUUACCUAAACUCUCCCGCAAGCCCUUCCGCUGGCAGAGCCGGGGAGUGCGGAGCAGAUGGGGGGAAGUGUGAAGCAGCAGAGAUGGUGGAUUCUUUGGUCAGCACAAUUGGAUCCGAGAGCGGAUGUCUGCCUACCACCUUAGCUCUACUGAGAAAAUGAAACAUACAGCAACACGUUGACUGAGGCAGAUUACUUGCCUUCCAUUUUAGCACAGCUUGAGUAGACACAAUAAAAUUUUACAUGGCAAUUUGAUGGGAAGUAUUGUUCCUUAAAACACAAGAGAAACAGGCUAUGAAGCGAAAGUAAAAGAGCUUCUUGUACCUUCCUGUUCCUCAGUGCAGAUCAACAGCAUAGAGCCUGAUCUCAAGCAAGGGUCUCACACUGCUCCCAUUAAUCUAAUACUCCAUAGGCUGCAGUGAAAAGCCCCAGGGGAGUAAAUAAGGACUACUGUGCUGAGCAAGAGCUUGCACAGGCUGUGCUCUUUUUGCAGUGCACGUCUACAUUCGGGGUGAAGAUUAGUGGGCUAGUUGCCUCCGUGCAAGCAGAAAACAUGUUUCAGGCUGCACAUUUUCACGGCUGACUUGCGAACUGGUUUCAAGAGUGCACAAGCACAGACAUAUUAAAAACACUAUUGUUUGAGCCCUUCGUCCUUUCUUGUUUAAAAUUUUAUGAAAGAUUUAAGAUUGCUUUCCUUUGAUUUCAGUUAACCUAGCUACUCUGUAUUUCUCUGUAAAGGUUGCGGAAAACAGGAUUUUAUGAGUAAUUCAAACCACGCAUGAAGACUCUGUUAACAAAUACAUAGUGCCAAAUUCUUAGAUACACAGGACCACUGCAGUAAAAACAAAGGGAUUGUAUGGGUGGGAAUAGGAAUAGAUUUUGCAAGGAAUGUGGAUUCCCAAAGGAAGUGGUAACUUUCAUAAACUCUUGAAAACCCAUUUUCCAUACCCGCCACUCUCACCACCUUCUACUUAUAAACUGUGCUGUUCAGUAAAACCUGCACUUUUCUGGCCUGCCUUGCCGUGGUAUUAUGGCUGAACAAGUGGGGUGAAAAACAGGCAUGUGAAAUUUUCACAGUGCAGCACACACCAACACAAAACCUUGCCUGGUUUCAAAUUUCUUUACCAAUCCAAAACCCAGACAAGCUUCACUGAAAGGUUUGUUAAGGUUCACGAACCGCAGGAUGAGUUUGGGGGGGUGCCAAAAAAAAGAAAGGUCUGGAAGAGCGAGCAGAAACUGGGAGCAGAUCUAUGCUGGGCUCGGCCAUUGCAGGUCUUGGACAGGUCUUCAACCUCCUUCUCCUCCUCUCCCAUCUCUCAAACAGCAUGGAAUGAGUAAGGCUGAUGAACUUUCUGUGUCCCAGGAACACUGGGAGGAUGAAUGGCCAAGAAGCACUUUGGAUAUGCCACGUCCCUCCAGGACUAGAUUGGGCAGUGGGGACUGGUCACCAGUAUGGGUAAUGGAGGCAGGCAUGGGAAGCCCUCACAAGAAACUGGGAUGCUGUUAGUCUACGCUAUGGAGACUUUCCCAGUAGAGAUAUACCUGGGAUGUCAUCCUGAGGACAAUACAUGUUAUUUUCCCAAAGGGAAUUACUUCUAACGUACACCUAGUCAUGCAUUUUUCAAGGAUACAUCUACCUCCUCUGAAGCAAGGGAAAUAAUUUUAAAAUGCAGUUUACAGAGCAGGGCACUGGAAGGACAGAGCUUUGGUUUCAUGAGGGAGAAGUAGGUAUACAGGAUAGCUCUGUUGCCAUGUUCACAUGCAUGUGUGUGUACGUGCAGGGGGGAGGCUCCUAUCAGUGGUGCUACAACUCCCUGCAAAUUACCAUGAAGUCACAACUGUAAUUUGUUUGCUAGGAACAGUUCUGAACCUGUGUUCGGUUUCAUUAGGGUCAUUUAACUUCUUAGCAAUUGUAUUGCCAAGCAUGUAAGAAAAGAUGCUGAGAGGGAAAGAAAAACAAAAGUGCAAACAUGAAAACACAGUUAAUAAAUACAGAAUAGAAUGGUCCAAAUACCAAUCUUCUUUUUGCAGGCAAAAUUAUGCUGUUCUACAAUUUCACAAAACCAGGAUGGUAUAAAAGGAGAGUAAUAACUCCAGUGGCUUCAGAGAAAACUUUGUUUUAAAGCUAAAUAAACAUAGUAAUCUGUUGGCUAAUCUAUAUCGUUGUUUGGAGAAAUUGCAACUAUUUGAAGUUAUGAGAUUCUGCAUUAAAAGUAUUCAGGUGUGUUACAAGUAAUUAUCUAUAAUAAGGUAUCCUUCCAUGACUCUACAUUUAAUCAGGCACCUUAUUUUGCUCUUUAACUUCCAUGAUUGCCUUUAAGAGGAGCCAUGUGGUUUUUGACCAUGUUAUUAAAAGUAUUUAAGAUAUCUUGUUGUUGUUUUGUCUAUAAGCUUCAUUUAAAUAUUGCAAGUCUGCAAAGCCCUACUCACAAAUUCCUCAAUACCGGGGGGGGAGAGAGAGCUUUUUCUCGUCUGUAAAAUAAUUUUAUUGGGUAUUAAGAUUACUUGCUGCAACCACAUUCAUUGUGGGCUGAUGAAAUCAGAGACUUUGUGACAAUCCUAUAACAUGCACAGUGGAGUGUCAGGAUAUUGAUUACAGCAAGCAAUUUUGUGAAAGUUUCUCUUUGCAGCAGUCACACCAAGUGGUGUCCAAUACAUUCAAAGAGGGAUUUUCUGCUGUGUAAGUCUAGACGUAAGGUCUAGCGAGGGUAGAGAAAUACUAGAUGCGAUAUUUGCAGCAGGAAACAGGGAGGUCUCUGCAUUUUUACUUCAUACAGGAAGAAACUAGUCUGUUGCAAGAUCAGAUUGCUGAAUUACAGUAGGAAUUGUUCUCAUGUAGGGCUACAUAACAUUAAAAAAAUAUGUAUUUUAAAGGAAAGGUGCAGAAAGCAAGGCUUUCAGCUGCAUGUUGUUUCAAAUGAGGGGUGCCUCCAGCUUUUCUAUGCAUUCAUGUGAUUCUCAGCAUUUCUGUGGGGAAGCAUUCAUACCAAAAUGCGUGAGUGGAAGUAGGAGGGUGUACAUAAAAAGACUCAUUUUGGGGGGGAACUAGACAUGACCUUGGCCAAUGAAUAAUAAGGAAACUCAGAGGCAAAAAGUCGUGUAGCAAUCACAGCGAAAGGUAGAGCUUGCAUACUGAACUUGUCCAUCCCCUCACUGGAUGCUUCAGACACUGUCUCUAUACUGCUUGCUCAUAUACACAGGCACAUGCACACACCUGCACACACACAAACUCAUUCUCCCAUUUAUCCUAUAGGGAAAAAAAAA
Molecule: non-coding RNA, 15788 nt
Organism: Anas platyrhynchos (mallard)
Lineage: Eukaryota; Metazoa; Chordata; Aves; Anseriformes; Anatidae
Source: RefSeq, a predicted model, not a curated record